CUGUUCACUUCAUGGGACAGGCUAUAAAUCUCCUGGAGUGACUAUUUUUUUGGAAACACUGACAAAGCAAGCCACAAGUCAGAAACUCCAGUGGAAACAGCAGAGAAAAUCAAGCAGAGGAACCCAACUUUGAAGCGAUAUAGCCCCUCUGAUCAUCUUGUGAGCAAGUCUGGCAAGCCAAAGUUGAGAAAAACAAACCAAAAUUGUCUUGGUAGAAAAUACAGCAAGAUGAAUGAGUUAGUCAAGAAGUUCACUGAGAGAACAGUAAGAAAGGAGGCACUGAAAUGUGAACUAAGCAUGAAAAUCUUUGGAAAUGAACUUAGCUUCUUAGAUUGUGAAG
Molecule: long non-coding RNA, 340 nt
Filed under: Lonchura striata (white-rumped munia)
Lineage: Eukaryota; Metazoa; Chordata; Aves; Passeriformes; Estrildidae
Description: domestica (Bengalese finch) lncRNA (ENSLSDG00000001147.1)
Source: RNAcentral